CCAAUAGCGUAUAUUAAAGUUGUUGCAGUUAAAAAGCUCGUAGUUGAAUUUCGGGGUUAGCAAGUUGGUCGUGCCACUGGUAUGUACUGGCUUUGCUGAUUCCUCCUUCUUGUAGAACCGUAAUGCCAUUUAGUUGGUGUUGCGGGGAAACAGGACUGUUACUUUGAAAAAAUUAGAGUGUUUAAAGCAGGCUAACGCCUGAAUACAUUAGCAUGGAAUAAUGAAAUAGGACGAGCGAUCCUAUUUUGUUGGUUUCUAGGAUUGACGUAAUGAUUAAUAGGGAUAGUUGGGGGCAUUAGUAUUCAAUUGUCAGAGGUGAAAUUCUUGGAUUUAUUGAAGACUGACUACUGCGAAAGCAUUUGCCAAGGAUGUUUUCAUUAAUCAAGAACGAAAGUUAGGGGAUCGAAGACGAUCAGAUACCGUCGUAGUCUUAACCAUAAACUAUGCCGACUAGGGAUCGGAUGAUGUUAAUUUUUUAAUGACUCAUUCGGCGCCUUACG
RNAcentral lists this ribosomal RNA (500 nucleotides) under uncultured Glomeromycotina. RNAcentral describes it as "partial small subunit ribosomal RNA". It matches the Rfam family "Eukaryotic small subunit ribosomal RNA", at positions 591 to 1092 of the family's 1831-position model. Lineage: Eukaryota; Fungi; Glomeromycota. The record is from RNAcentral.